UACAUAGCCCGCCUCAUUAGUGCCCGUCCUCCAAUCCUCCGUCUUUCCUUCCAGCCUGCUGGCCAGAUGGAAUAGCAGUUUAGCAGCAGGAGGGCGCUCCAUUCUGUGACUGCCUCCAAGAGAUCACUGGAUCCUGAACAAGAAGGUGUCUCUCCUUCAGCAGUUGUCAAGCCCUACUGAAGCAGAGCCAUGCUCGAAAAUACAUCCUGCUGUACCAAAUCCACACGAAGUAAACAUCACAAUGCCGCUCUGUCGUAAUUACUACGUUCUUUACGGAACUCAGGAAGGCUAAAGACUUUGUCAUUAGUGCAGCGACUCGUUCCAGAGUUCAUCAGCUCAGAGUCACAUAGCGGGAGAUGUGUUUAAUCUGAUUAUGGAUUUCCAGUCAUGCUAGCAAGACAAGAACUUAAUACCCCUUCCCCAAUUAAUCUAUUUUAACACUGUGGAAAACAAAUUCUGCAAGACCCUAUGUGUUUUAUUUUCCUUCUAGAAUAAACACAGCAGCACUUCA
This is a long non-coding RNA of Cavia porcellus (domestic guinea pig), 511 nucleotides long. RefSeq lists it as uncharacterized. The record is from RefSeq and is a predicted model, not a curated record. Lineage: Eukaryota; Metazoa; Chordata; Mammalia; Rodentia; Caviidae. The transcript has 2 exons.